Molecule: ribosomal RNA, 231 nt
Filed under: uncultured bacterium
Lineage: Bacteria
Description: partial 16S ribosomal RNA
Rfam family: Bacterial small subunit ribosomal RNA
Source: RNAcentral
GACGUAGGGGCAAGCGUUGUUCGGAAUUAUUGGGCGUAAAGCGCUCGUAGGCGGAUUGGAAGUCCGUGUUGAAAGACCUCGGCUCAACUGAGGGACCGCUCGGAUACCUAAUUCUUGAGGCAAUCAGAGGAUGAUGGAAUUCCCGGUGUAGCGUGAAUGCGUAGAUAUCGGAGAACACCAGUGGCGAAGGCGAUCAUCUGGGUUGUUCUGACGCUGAGAGCGAAGCUAGGA